UACAGAGGGCCCAAGCGUUAAUCGGAAUCACUGGGCUUAAAGCGUGCGUAGGCGGAUCUGUAAGUGUCUUGUGAAAUCCCACGGCUCAACCGUGGAACUGCUCGGCAUACUGCAGAUCUUGAGGUCGGUAGGGGUCGUCGGAGCUCUAGGUGGAGCGGUGAAAUGCGUAGAUAUCUAGAGGAACGCCAAAGGUGAAGACAGACGACUGGGCCGAUCCUGACGCUGAGGUACGAAAGCGUGGGGAGCAAACGGG
This 253-nucleotide unclassified non-coding RNA is filed under the name uncultured Phycisphaeraceae bacterium. RNAcentral's name for it is "contains 16S-23S intergenic spacer region". It matches the Rfam family "Bacterial small subunit ribosomal RNA", at positions 524 to 776 of the family's 1533-position model. Lineage: Bacteria; Pseudomonadati; Planctomycetota; Phycisphaerae; Phycisphaerales; Phycisphaeraceae. The record is from RNAcentral.